This 284-nucleotide ribosomal RNA is filed under the name uncultured prokaryote. RNAcentral describes it as "partial 16S ribosomal RNA". It matches the Rfam family "Bacterial small subunit ribosomal RNA", at positions 524 to 819 of the family's 1533-position model. The record is from RNAcentral.
UACGUAGGGGCUAGCGUUAUCCGGAUUUACUGGGCGUAAAGGGUGCGUAGGUGGUUUCUUAAGUCAGGAGUGAAAGGCUACGGCUUAACCGUAGUAAGCUCUUGAAACUGGGAAACUUGAGUGCAGGAGAGGAAAGUGGAAUUCCUAGUGUAGCGGUGAAAUGCGUAGAUAUUAGGAGGAACACCAGUAGCGAAGGCGGCUUUCUGGACUGUAACUGACACUGAGGCACGAAAGCGUGGGGAGCAAACAGGAUUAGAUACCCCAGUAGUCCCUGAGCGGGCUGG